Molecule: long non-coding RNA, 191 nt
Organism: Lolium rigidum
Lineage: Eukaryota; Viridiplantae; Streptophyta; Magnoliopsida; Poales; Poaceae
Exons: 3
Source: RefSeq, a predicted model, not a curated record
GUCUCCGGGGCAAUCCACUAUGGCUGGGGGAUGCAGAUCUCUAUCCUCACACCGUAUGCUCAGCUUCUUGGAGUUCCACACAUGUUUGCUUCCCUUAUUUGCAGCUCUGGACCUUUGGCUGGAGUUUUGGUAAAUCCCACGCUCAAUUACCACAGUGACCGAUGCACAAUGAGGAUGGGACGCAGGAGGCC